Molecule: ribosomal RNA, 253 nt
Filed under: uncultured bacterium
Lineage: Bacteria
Description: partial 16S ribosomal RNA
Rfam family: Bacterial small subunit ribosomal RNA
Source: RNAcentral
UACGUAGGGUGCAAGCGUUGUCCGGAAUUAUUGGGCGUAAAGAGCUUGUAGGCGGUUUGUCGCGUCUGCUGUGGAAUUUCGGGGCUCAACCCCGAACUUGCAGUGGGUACGGGCAGACUAGAGUGUGGUAGGGGAGACUGGAAUUCCUGGUGUAGCGGUGAAAUGCGCAGAUAUCAGGAGGAACACCGAUGGCGAAGGCAGGUCUCUGGGCCAUAACUGACGCUGAGAAGCGAAAGCAUGGGGAGCGAACAGG